UUUCCGUAGGUGAACCUGCGGAAGGAUCAUUAUUGAAUAAACAGUGUGGGUUGUUGCUGGCCUUCUGGCAUGUGCACGCCUGCCAUAUGUUUCAUUCCCUUCUUUCCACCUGUGCACUAUGUGUAGGCUAUGUAUGCAGUAUUGUCAGGCCCUUCAUAAGGCUUGGUUUAGAGAGGAUGCUUGUCUUUAUGAGACAGGCUCAUCUUGGGCGUACAGGUCUAUGUUUUACACCAACACCAAAUGAAUGUCUUAGAAUGUAUUUUUUCAGGCUCUUGCUAGCCUUUAAACCAUAUACAACUUUCAACAACGGAUCUCUUGGCUCUC
Molecule: unclassified non-coding RNA, 324 nt
Filed under: plant metagenome
Description: partial contains small subunit ribosomal RNA, internal transcribed spacer 1, and 5.8S ribosomal RNA
Source: RNAcentral